GGCGCCUAAUACUGCAAGUCGAACGGAGUAGCAAUACUUAGUGGCAGACGGGUGAGUAACAUGUGGGUAUCUUCCCUUUGGUGAGGAAUAACACGAGGAAACUUGUGCUAAUACCUCAUAAGUCUUUACGGAGAAAGCUUUAUGCGCCAUUGGAUGAGCCCGCACUUGAUUAGUUUGUUGGUGGGGUGAAAGCCUACCAAGACUAUGAUCAAUAGCUGAUUUGAGAGGAUGAUCAGCCACAUUGGGACUGAGACACGGCCCAAACUCCCACGGGAGGCAGCAGUAGGGAAUCUUGCACAAUGGAGGAAACUCUGAUGCAGCGAUGCCGCGUGAGUGAAGAAGGCCUUUGGGUUGUAAUGCUCUUUCGUCGGGGAAGAAAAUGACUGUACCCGAAUAAGAAGGUCCGGCUAACUUCGUGCCAGCAGCCGCGGUAAUACGAAGGGACCUAGCGUAGUUCGGAAUUACUGGGCUUAAAGAGUUCGUAGGUGGUUAAAAAAGUUGGUGGUGAAAGCCCAGAGUUUAACUCUGGAACUGCCAUCAAAACUUUUUAGCUAGAGUAUGAUAGAGGAAAGCAGAAUUUCUAGUGUAGAGGUGAAAUUCGUAGAUAUUAGAAAGAAUACCAAUUGCGAAGGCAGCUUUCUGGAUCAUUACUGACACUGAGGAACGAAAGCAUGGGUAGCGAAGAGGAUUAGAUACCCUCGUAGUCCAUGCCGUAAACGAUGUGUGUUAGGUGUUGGAAAUUUAUUUUCAGUAUCGCAGCGAAAGCGAUAAACACACCGCCUGGGGAGUACGACCGCAAGGUUAAAAC
Molecule: ribosomal RNA, 808 nt
Filed under: uncultured marine bacterium
Lineage: Bacteria
Description: bacterial SSU rRNA
Rfam family: Bacterial small subunit ribosomal RNA
Source: RNAcentral